This 1444-nucleotide long non-coding RNA is filed under the name Vulpes vulpes (red fox). Its description in RNAcentral is "lncRNA (ENSVVUG00000015649.1)". Lineage: Eukaryota; Metazoa; Chordata; Mammalia; Carnivora; Canidae. The record is from RNAcentral.
UCUAUUUCACAGUUGCAUGUUGGAUAUGCAUUGGGGGAGAGAUAAAUAACUAGUACCCAGACGGCCGGUACCUUCAAGCAGAGGCCCUACAGCGUGGCUGUACCUGCCUUCUCCCAGGGUCUAGAUGACUACGGAGCACGGGCUGUGAGCAGGAACCCCUUUGCCAGCGUCCAGCUGAAGCCGACCGUGACCAAUGACAGGUCUGCACCCCUCCUCAGCUGACGGCCAGGCCCCCACCGCUGCCCGCUGGGCCCCUGCUCCACACCCGCACGCAGACCCUCUUUUGUAACAGUCUGCGUGCUCCCCGCUCCGAGAAAGAACCUUCCCCUCCCUGCAAGCCUUCACCUGCCCGGCUCUGCCCUGCUGCAGCCUGGCCUGGGCUGGACCCCGGCCGUUGCUUCGGAGGCGUCCCCGGGCCACGGCCCCCGGGGCAGGGAAGGACGUCGGCCUGUAGCUGGAAGGGGAGCACGGNAGAAAUCAAGAAGAUUUUUAAAACUCUAAAGAAUAUGAAAGUGCUUAGUUUUUUUUUUUUUUUUUAAAGAUUUUAUUUAUUUAUUCUUGAGAGAUAGAAGGGGAGACAGAGCCAGAGACACAGGUAGAGGGAGAAGCAGGCUCCAUGCACCGGGAGCCCGACGUGGGAUUCGAUCCCGGGUCUCCAGGAUCGUGCCCCGGGCCAAAGGCAGGCGCCAAACCGCUGCGCCACCCAGGGAUCCCUCUGAUAGCUUUUCAAAUAAGAAAUUUAUAAUGCCAAAUAUGUCUGUUAUCCAAUCAUAAAGCAUGAGUACAACCCUGGACUUUUCUUCUUCGAAAGACGGAGAGGAGAGGCCUUUGAGUAUAAAAUGGAGGAGAGUGAGGAUGAGAAAAGGAAGAACUAGCAUUGUCUAGUGAUAUGAGAUGUACAUGUCACAUACUUCUGAGUUACAGUGGCUUGAACUUCAUUCAGGGGCAUUCACAACCACUAUAAUCAGAAAACUUCUUAAGCAUCAUGGAGAAAACCCUGAACACCAGCAGAUGUAUGUGAAUGGAGAAUAUGACAGAGAAGGGACAAGAAAUCUCAGUGUCAUAAAUGGUCAAUCUACUCUUAACUGAGCCCUCCAACUAUAUCAACACCUGAUUCUAAUGACAACUAAUCUUGUGACAUUAAUGAAAAUGCCUGUGUAUCUGUAAAUGAAUCAGAAGCUUCUGUUUAGUAAGGACUCCAGAACUUUGACAGAGGAAGUGCUAUGGAAAGAAAUGUUCUAGGAACUAGGAAAAUUAUGUAGCAGACACAAUAUUUUGAUUUAGAUUGUGUGUUUACUUAUGGUGGCUGGAGGAAGGGUAGCCUGGUCUUGGAGAUUUUCAGUAUUCUAAUGUCCAUCUCCCUCCCUAGGCCAUACUUUGAGUUCUCCCUGCCUUUGUCCUUAAAAAUAAUAAAGAGACUCAUCUUGGGUGCCUUGAAAUGACA